UCUCUCUCUCUCUCUCUCUACUUUGUUCUUUUAGUUUUUUUCAUUUGGUUGUCUUGCUUCUUUAGUCUCCAAUUGCGGAGUUAGUACCCCUCUUUGGAUGGGGUCUUUUGACGGGUGUCUUUUGUACCCGCUUUGCAAGCUUGUUUCAUAUGUUGGUAAGGCCUUUUCAAGGAAGCAAGAGAUCUCCCCAUAGUUUUCUGGUGGUCAGAAAUCUGACCAAGUUUUUGUGAGGAUUUUGAGGGUGAUACGGUUGUUGCUUUGACGCUUGAAGGGAGCUCUCUGCUCCUCCCUAGAAUCACCUUUCCUUUAAAAGGAGCUCUGUAAUCUUGCGCUGGGCUAUUUAACCGCUGAUCUUUUCUUUCAUAUGUAAUCUUGCCUAUUGGGCUUUAAUGAAAUAUUUCCCCAUUUAAAGAAAAAAGAAUUUCAUGCAUAAAUGGUUAAUUUGUAUCCAUUCCAUGGGC
Molecule: unclassified non-coding RNA, 461 nt
Filed under: Hevea brasiliensis (rubber tree)
Lineage: Eukaryota; Viridiplantae; Streptophyta; Magnoliopsida; Malpighiales; Euphorbiaceae
Source: RNAcentral